This is a long non-coding RNA of Eriocheir sinensis (Chinese mitten crab), 423 nucleotides long. RefSeq lists it as uncharacterized. The record is from RefSeq and is a predicted model, not a curated record. The transcript has 3 exons. Lineage: Eukaryota; Metazoa; Arthropoda; Malacostraca; Decapoda; Varunidae.
CUUUUCUUUUCACAGGAGCUGCCGAUACAAAGGCCUGGCUGGGGAGAAAUCCCGCGCCACCUGUGACAUCAAGAUCAAGUAAACACCUGGGGGACAUAAACACUGGCGAUACAAAGGCCAAGCUUCCCGAACGACACCUGACCUGCCGUGUGUUCCUGUACGAGCCGUGUUUCCAUGGCCUGCCAAGACCCAUAACACACAAGGAACUGCUUCAGGGUGCUGGUGUGAAGCCGCAGGGAAAGGGGAGCCAUGACACAGUAGAAGCAGAAAGGCGACUUGUUUUCGGUCAAGGUAAAGAAGGAAAAGAAAGGCAGUAAAGGCAAGAAGAAGAAGCAGCAGGAGGGAGACAGAGAGGUCCAUGUGAAGAAAACACCCAAGGCUGACCACUUGUCUGCCCUUGAUGUCCAGCCGUUAACUUACAAG